This is a long non-coding RNA of Mauremys mutica (yellowpond turtle), 529 nucleotides long. RefSeq lists it as uncharacterized. The record is from RefSeq and is a predicted model, not a curated record. The transcript is spliced from 5 exons. NCBI's taxonomy places the organism in Eukaryota, Metazoa, Chordata, Testudines, Geoemydidae.
GGCUGAGGAAGUCCCCAAGGGCCCCUCAAAGCCCAUCCGUGCCUGGGAGGAGACGAAACCUCCCCAACGGAAGAGUUGGCGAAAGAGCCCACAGCGGAAGCAGGAGCUGUGUGUGCCUCAGCCCUUCCGUGCCGAUUCACCAUCCUAUUGUAACGCUUGCUUAAGGAGGAUAGACUGGGAGGAGAAAGAGGCCCUGGAGUACAUCAACGCCUUUCUCACGAGCAAUGAACAGGACGAGGCCAAGAAACUCAAGUUCUUGGAUUCCAUCAGCACCCUCAGCAGCCUGCCUGCUUUUAUGGACAAAGCCUGCUAGUGGAGAAGAUAAAGGAGCUGAUUGAUCACGAGUCCGUCGACUCCCUGACCGGCGUGAUGCGUCAGCAAGCAAUGCUCGCCAUCAUGAAGCUGAGCAAAAUGAAGCUACCGUGGCUGGUCCUGACACGACCCAGCCUGCUCGCCACCUGCUUCUCCAGCAUCUUCUCCCUGCCUCCAGCACACACCAUGGAGGAGGAGGUGGAGGCUGCUCUCUACA